UACUGAUAGCUCAACUAUUAGGCUUCGGGGGAUACUGCCAGACUGGAACCGGGAGAGGUAAGAGGUACUACAGGGGUAGGAGUGAAAUCUUGUAAUCCCUGUGGGACCACCUGUGGCGAAGGCGUCUUACCAGAACGGGUUCGACGGUGAGGGACGAAAGCUGGGGGCACGAACCGGAUUAGAUACCCGGGUAGUCCCAGCCGUAAACGAUGCUCGCUAGGUGUCAGGCAUGGCGCGACCGUGUCUGGUGCCGCAGGGAAGCCGUGAAGCGAGCCACCUGGGAAGUACGGCCGCAAGGCUGAAACUUAAAGGAAUUGGCGGGGGAGCACAACAACGGGGUUGGAGCCUGCGGUUUAAUUGGACUCAACGCCGGACAACUCACCGGGGGCGACAGCAAUAUGUAGGCCAAGCUGAAGACUUUGCCUGAAUCGCUGAGGAGUGGUGCAUGG
RNAcentral lists this ribosomal RNA (449 nucleotides) under uncultured archaeon. Its description in RNAcentral is "bacterial SSU rRNA". It matches the Rfam family "Archaeal small subunit ribosomal RNA", at positions 549 to 997 of the family's 1478-position model. The record is from RNAcentral.